Molecule: ribosomal RNA, 253 nt
Filed under: uncultured bacterium
Lineage: Bacteria
Description: partial 16S ribosomal RNA
Rfam family: Bacterial small subunit ribosomal RNA
Source: RNAcentral
UACGUAGGGUGCGAGCGUUGUCCGGAAUUACUGGGCGUAAAGAGCUCGUAGGUGGUUUGUCGCGUUGUUCGUGAAAACUCACAGCUCAACUGUGGGCGUGCGGGCGAUACGGGCAGACUAGAGUUCGGUAGGGGAGUCUGGAAUUCCUGGUGUAGCGGUGAAAUGCGCAGAUAUCAGGAGGAACACCGGUUGCGAAGGCGGGACUCUGGGCCGAUACUGACGCUGAGGAGCGAAAGCGUGGGGAGCAAACAGG